RNAcentral lists this long non-coding RNA (268 nucleotides) under Sorghum bicolor (sorghum). RNAcentral describes it as "long non-coding RNA (SBIC_LNC018009)". Lineage: Eukaryota; Viridiplantae; Streptophyta; Magnoliopsida; Poales; Poaceae. The record is from RNAcentral.
CGUAUUUGUUAAACAACCACACAUUUAGGAUCUCUAGGUGUUAUUGGUAUGCCCAUAAUGCAUCUAUACAUGCUUCAUCAUUUACAACAAUAAGAACUAAGUGGCUGGUUCGAUUUGUCCUGUUAUAUGAAGGGGUAAAUUUAUUAAAUCUAAUUCUUUGCUAAAUUUGUGUGUGGGUUUGUGUUUGUUUGUGGGGGAGGUGGCAUGACCGGCUGAAGCUGCCAACACCAGAUGUGGUUCCCGUGAGGGGCAGGGAAGCUGUGGCGCC